This is a non-coding RNA of Podarcis lilfordi (Lilford's wall lizard), 82 nucleotides long. Lineage: Eukaryota; Metazoa; Chordata; Lepidosauria; Squamata; Lacertidae. The record is from the annotation of a GenBank genome assembly.
UCCAUAGCUUAGUGGUACUGUAGAGUAUCUGCUUUGUAUGCAGAAGAUCCUGAGUUCAGUCCCCAGCAUCUCCAGGUAGGAA